Molecule: microRNA precursor, 195 nt
Filed under: Triticum aestivum (bread wheat)
Lineage: Eukaryota; Viridiplantae; Streptophyta; Magnoliopsida; Poales; Poaceae
Also listed under: 3 other names
Description: pre miRNA MIR159
Rfam family: MIR159 microRNA precursor family
Source: Rfam by way of RNAcentral
AUGGACGGAAGAGAGCGUCCUUCAGUCCACUCACGGGCGGUGCUAGGAUCGAAUUAGCUGCCGACUCAUUCAUCCACUUGCCGAGCAAAGUUAUUUGCCGAGGAGCUUAGCAGGUGAGUGAAUGAAGCGGGAGGUAAAGUCUUUGAUCUCGCACCGUCGUUGCUUGGACUGAAGGGUGCUCCCUCCUCCUCUCUA